GAUGAACGCUGGCGGCGUGCCUAAUACAUGCAAGUCGAGCGAAUGGAUUAAGAGCUUGCUCUUAUGAAGUUAGCGGCGGACGGGUGAGUAACACGUGGGUAACCUGCCCAUAAGACUAGGAUAACUCCGGGAAACCGGGGCUAAUACCGGAUACCAUUUUGAACCGCAUGGUUCGAAAGUGAAAGGCGGCUUCGGCUGUCACUUAUGGAUGGACCCGCUUCGCAUUAGCUAGUUGGUGAGGUAACGGCUCACCACGGCAACGAUGCGUAGCCGACCGGGGAGGGUGAUCGGCCACACUGGGCAUGAGACACGGCCCAGACUCCUACGGGAGGCAGCAGUAGGGAAUCUUCCGCAAUGGACGAAAGUCUGACGGAGCAACGCCGCGUGAGUGAUGAAGGCUUUCGGGUCGUAAAACUCUGUUGUUAGGGAAGAACAAGUGCUAGUUGAAUAAGCUGGCACCUUGACGGUACCUAACCAGAAAGCCACGGCUAACUACGUGCCAGCCGCCGCCGUAA
This 515-nucleotide ribosomal RNA is filed under the name uncultured bacterium. RNAcentral's name for it is "partial 16S ribosomal RNA". It matches the Rfam family "Bacterial small subunit ribosomal RNA", at positions 28 to 523 of the family's 1533-position model. The record is from RNAcentral.